CCUACGGGGGGCUGCAGUGGGGAAUAUUGCACAAUGGGCGCAAGCCUGAUGCAGCCAUGCCGCGUGUGUGAAGAAGGGCUUCGGGUUGUAAAGCACUUUCAGCGGGGAGGAAGGCGGUGAGGUUAAUAACCUCAUCGAUUGACGUUACCCGCAGAAGAAGCACCGGCUAACUCCGUGCCAGCAGCCGCGGUAAUACGGAGGGUGCAAGCGUUAAUCGGAAUUACUGGGCGUAAAGCGCACGCAGGCGGUCUGUCAAGUCGGAUGUGAAAUCCCCGGGCUCAACCUGGGAACUGCAUUCGAAACUGGCAGGCUAGAGUCUUGUAGAGGGGGGUAGAAUUCCAGGUGUAGCGGUGAAAUGCGUAGAGAUCUGGAGGAAUACCGGUGGCGAAGGCGGCCCCCUGGACAAAGACUGACGCUCAGGUGCGAAAGCGUGGGGAGCAAACAGGAUUAGAUACCCCGGUAGUC
This 465-nucleotide ribosomal RNA is filed under the name uncultured Klebsiella sp. RNAcentral's name for it is "bacterial SSU rRNA". It matches the Rfam family "Bacterial small subunit ribosomal RNA", at positions 338 to 795 of the family's 1533-position model. The record is from RNAcentral. Lineage: Bacteria; Pseudomonadati; Pseudomonadota; Gammaproteobacteria; Enterobacterales; Enterobacteriaceae.